AGUGAACGCUGGCGGUAGGCCUAACACAUGCAAGUCGAACGGCAGCACAGUAAGAGCUUGCUCUUACGGGUGGCGAGUGGCGGACGGGUGAGGAAUACAUCGGAAUCUACUUUUUCGUGGGGGAUAACGUAGGGAAACUUACUCUAAUACCGCAUACGACCUACGGGUGAAAGCAGGGGAUCUUCUGACCUUGCGCGAUUGAAUUAGCCGAUGUCGGAUUAGCUAGUUGGCGGGGUAAAGGCCCACCAAGGCGACGAUCCGUAGCCGGUCUGAGAGGAUGAUCAGCCACACUGGAACUGAGACACGGUCCAGACUCCUAAGGGAGGGAGCAGUGGGGAAUAUUGGACAAAGGGGGGAAGCCUGAUCCAGCCAUACCGCGUGGGUGAAGAAGGCCUUCGGGUUGUAAAGACCUUUUGUUGGGAAAGAAAAGCAGCAGGUUAAUACCCCGCUGUUCUGACGGUAACCAAAGAAUAAGCACCGGCUAACUUCGUG
This 492-nucleotide ribosomal RNA is filed under the name uncultured bacterium. RNAcentral's name for it is "partial 16S ribosomal RNA". It matches the Rfam family "Bacterial small subunit ribosomal RNA", at positions 29 to 507 of the family's 1533-position model. The record is from RNAcentral.